Molecule: long non-coding RNA, 832 nt
Filed under: Salvator merianae (Argentine black and white tegu)
Lineage: Eukaryota; Metazoa; Chordata; Lepidosauria; Squamata; Teiidae
Description: lncRNA (ENSSMRG00000013397.1)
Source: RNAcentral
UUGUGCUUUUGCCCUGUCUCUGCUGAGCACUAGUCCAGUAAUUGAGUUAGGGCACCUGCUUCCUUCAUGACUAGCAGUGGGAAAGAAGACAACUGAUUUCAGAUGAGGUCUCCACAAGCCUCCACGGUUUCACACCAGGAGGAGGAUCCUCGGAAGUCCGUGGCUGUGGAUCGCAUAGAAACAUGUAGUAGCACUGUUCGAAAUGCACCUGCUACUCAGGAGGCAAGGGACAGCCAGCUGCAGGAAAGGUCAUCUCCACUGCCCAGCGCAAGAACAGAAGUCACGGACACAGCCGCCAAUGCAGCAAUGGAACGGCCAAGCAUUGACCCCUCAGAGGAUGCAGCUACAGACCCUGUUGCAGUUCUGCUUCCAAAGAAGCAGAUGACAACGGAAUAUGAAUGCGACUGCAGGCCCGAAAAAUAAACUCUGCUUUGUGACCCUGUUCCAUGUACAAGAAGCCUGGCUAAACAGUACCCUCAGUGUGUGCCUCCGGUGGUGUAUGGUGUGGCUGUCCAGGUUCUGGGCAUUCAGGCACAGGCAUGUCCUCUUCCAGACUUCCCUCCUCCUGCUCUGGCUGCGAAGGCGACUGCCGGGGCACCAACGGGCUUUGUGGUGGCUCCUGAGGAGCUUCCUCCUCCUGCUCCUCCUCCUCUUCCUCCUGCUGUAUCUGUCUUGCUCGUGCUGUUGACAGGUGAAUGGUCUAUCAUUAGCCAUUAUGACAGCUUGCAUAAAUUUCCGAUUCAAGACGGAUUUGCAUUGAUUUCAGCUCUACUUUGCAAACGGCUAAAAUUAGCAGUCUUAUGCUUAAUAAUAAAGAUNGCUAGUACCCACA